AUUCCCAACUGCCUCACAAGGACAUUCAUGUCAAUGGGGAUUCAUUCUGGCUUGCUGAUGAACCCACUAGGCAAGAAGCCUCAACAUAAGUGACAGGUAGGUCUUAGUGUUGCUCUUGACCAAUGACACGGUUCUGGCUGCCCAGG
Molecule: long non-coding RNA, 146 nt
Filed under: Neogale vison (American mink)
Lineage: Eukaryota; Metazoa; Chordata; Mammalia; Carnivora; Mustelidae
Description: Neovison vison (American mink) FTX transcript, XIST regulator conserved region 3 (ENSNVIG00000024807.1)
Rfam family: FTX transcript, XIST regulator conserved region 3
Source: RNAcentral